RNAcentral lists this ribosomal RNA (556 nucleotides) under uncultured bacterium. RNAcentral's name for it is "bacterial SSU rRNA". It matches the Rfam family "Bacterial small subunit ribosomal RNA", at positions 375 to 923 of the family's 1533-position model. The record is from RNAcentral.
UAGCGUACUGAUCAGCACUGCCGCGUGCUGUGAGAGGCCUGCGGGUUGUAAAGCACUUUCUGAAGAGAAGAAAGCGCGGUGCUAAUAUCUGUGUGGCUUGACGUAUCCUUCUAAACAACCACCGGCUAACUCCCUGCCACCAGCCGCGGUAAUACGGAGGGUGCGAGCGUUAAUCUGAAUUACUGGGCGUAAAGCGUACGUAGGCGGCUAAAUUAGUCGGAUGUGAAAGCCCCGGGCUUAACCUGGGGAAUUGCAUUCGAUACUGUCUGGCUUGAAUGUGGAAGAGGGAAAUGGAAUUCCGGGUGUAGCGGUGAAAUGCGUAGAUAUCUGGAGGAACAUCAGUGGCGAAGGCGACUUCCUGGUCCAACAUUGACACUGAGGUACGAAAGCGUGGGGAGCAAACAGGAUUAGAUACCCUGGUAGUCCACGCCGUAUACGAUGAGAACUAGCCGUUGGAUUCAUCUGGAAUUCAGUGGCGCAGCUAACGCGUUAACUUCUCCGCCUGCGUCAGUACGGACGCAAGGUCUGAAGCAUCUGAGAAAUUGACGGGAUCAGG